CACAGUGAAACAGAAAUAACCUGGAAAAACGUUGAUGAGAAGACCUCGCAAUAGCUUAUUUGUCCUCUUUUUUCCUUUUUUCCGUUUUCCUUUUUUUUCCUUUGGACAACCCUAAUGUUAUU
RNAcentral lists this non-coding RNA (122 nucleotides) under Thalassionema frauenfeldii. The record is from RNAcentral. Lineage: Eukaryota; Bacillariophyta; Fragilariophyceae; Thalassionematales; Thalassionemataceae.